UAGGGAAUAUUGCAAAAUGGGCGAAAGCCCGAUGCAGCAACGCCGCGUGGGCGAUGAAGGCCUUCGGGUCGUAAAGCCCUUUUUGAGGGGAUGAGGAAGGACAGUACCCUCAGAAUAAGCCUCGGCUAACUACGUGCCAGCAGCCGCGGUAAAACGUAGGAGGCGAGCGUUAUCCGGAUUUACUGGGCGUAAAGCGCGUGCAGGCGGAUUGGAGAGUUGGAUGUGAAAGCUCCCGGCUUAACUGGGAGAGGUCGUUCAAUACUUCCAGUCUUGAGUGCAGUAGAGGGAAGUGGAAUUCCGGGUGUAGUGGUUAAAUGCGUAGAUAUCCGGAGGAACACCAGUGGCGAAAGCGGCUUCCUGGACUGUAACUGACGCUCAGACGCGAAAGCUAGGGUAGCAAACG
Molecule: ribosomal RNA, 403 nt
Filed under: uncultured bacterium
Lineage: Bacteria
Description: bacterial SSU rRNA
Rfam family: Bacterial small subunit ribosomal RNA
Source: RNAcentral